AUUGGUGCAGCCGCAGAACAGAACGCACCCGGAUGAAUCUUGACAAUGAGGAAGAGAUAGAACCAACAGACACAGGUAGAGGCCGAUGGAGGAUGUGCCCAUCCUCCUCCCAGGAAGCAGGAGGCUAAGACAUUCUAUCCAAGAACAUUUUGAUCCCACGCCAGACUCAUCUUUGGUGAAAAGCAAUAUUUUGAAGAAUCAGAACUCACGGGGUGAUGCAGAUUUUAAGGCAUCUUCGGCGGACAAACAGCUAAUUGGUUCUGCGGCCCCGGGAUUUGCAAAGGGUCAAAAUGAUUUGUUGUAAAUAUGCAUCUCUAUUA
RNAcentral lists this long non-coding RNA (320 nucleotides) under Ictidomys tridecemlineatus (thirteen-lined ground squirrel). Its description in RNAcentral is "lncRNA (ENSSTOG00000030301.1)". Lineage: Eukaryota; Metazoa; Chordata; Mammalia; Rodentia; Sciuridae. The record is from RNAcentral.